Molecule: non-coding RNA, 72 nt
Organism: Oesophagostomum dentatum (nodular worm)
Lineage: Eukaryota; Metazoa; Nematoda; Chromadorea; Rhabditida; Strongylidae
Source: the annotation of a GenBank genome assembly
GACAUCUUGGUCUAGUGGUAUGAUUCUCGCCUAGAAUGCGAGAGGUCCCGAAAUCGAUCCCCGCUCAGCCCG